GAUGAACGCUGGCGGCGUGCCUAAUACAUGCAAGUCGAGCGAACAGAUCAUGAGCUUGCUCCUUUGAAGUUACCGACGGACGGGUGAGUAACACGUGAGUGACCUACCUAUGAGACUGGGAUAACUUCCGGAAACCGGAGCUAAUACCGGAUAACAUUUACAACCGCAUGGUUCUAAAGUGAAAGAUGGUUUUGCUAUCUCUUAUAUAUGGACCCGCGCCGCUAUUAGCUAGAUGGGAAGGUAACGGCUUACCAAGGCGACGGAUACGUAACCGACCUGAGAGGGUGAUCGGCCACACUGAAACUGAAACAACGGUCCAGACUCCUACGGGAGGCAGCAGUACGGAAUCUUCCGCAAUGGGCGAAAGCCUGACUGAUCAACGCCGCGUGAGUGAUGAAUGGUUUCGGCUCGUAAGACUCUGUUAUUGAGGGAAGAACAAAUGUGUAAGUAACUGUGCACAUCUUGACCGUACCUAAUCAGAAAGCCGCGGCUAACUACCUGCCAGCAGCCGCGGUAAUACGUACGUGGCAAGCGUUAUCCGGAAUUAUUGGGCGUAAGCGCGCGUAGGCGGUUUCUUAGUCUGAUGUGAAAGCCCACGGCUCAACCGUGGAGGGUCAUUGGAAACUGGGAAACUUGAGUGCAGAAGAGGAAAGUGGAAUUCCAUGUGUAGCGGUGAAAUGCGCAGAUAUAUGGAGGAACACCAGUGGCGAAGGCGACUUUCUGGUCUGUAACUGACGCUGAUGUGCGAAAGCGUGGGGAUCAAACAGGAUUAGAUACCCUGGUAGUCCACGCCGUAAACGAUGAGUGCUAAGUGUUAGGGGGUUUCCGCCCCUUAGUGCUGCAGCUAACGCAUUAAGCACUCCGCCUGGGGAGUACGUCCGCAAGGUUGAAACUCAAAGGAAUUGACGGGGACCCGCACAAGCGGUGGAGCAUGUGGUUUAAUUCGAAGCAACGCGAAGAACCUUACCAAAUCUUGACAUCCUUUGAAAACUCUAGAGAUAGAGCCUUCCCCUUCGGGGGACAAAGUGACAGGUGGUGCAUGGUUGUCCUCAUCUCGUGUCGUGAGAUGUUGGGUUAAGUCCCGCAACGAGCGCAACCCUUAAGCUUAGUUGCCAUCAUUAAGUUGGGCUCUCUAGGUUGACUGCCGGUGACAAACCGGAGGAAGGUGGAGAUGACGUCAAAUCAUCAUGCCCCUUAUGAUUUGGGCUACACACGUGCUACAAUGGACAAUACAAAGGGCAGGUAAACCGCGAGGUCAUGCAAAUCCCAUAAAGUUGUUUUCAGUUCGGAUUGUAGUCUGCAACUUGACUACAUGAAGCUGGAAUCGCUAGUAAUCGUAGAUCAGCAUGCUACGGUGAAUACGUUCCCGGG
RNAcentral lists this ribosomal RNA (1371 nucleotides) under uncultured bacterium. Its description in RNAcentral is "16S ribosomal RNA". It matches the Rfam family "Bacterial small subunit ribosomal RNA", at positions 28 to 1378 of the family's 1533-position model. The record is from RNAcentral.